UACGGAAGGUUCGGGCGUUAUCCGGAUUUAUUGGGUUUAAAGGGAGCGUAGGCGGAUUUUUAAGCCGGCUGUGAAAGUUCGGGGCUCAACCUCGGAAUUGCAGUCGGAACUGGAGAUCUUGAGUUGGUGCAGCGGUGCCGGAACUCGUGGUGUAGCGGUGAAAUGCUUAGAUAUCACGAAGAACUCCGAUCGCGAAGGCAGGUGCCGGACGCCGUACUGACGCUGAGGCUCGAAGGUGCGGGUAUCGAAC
Molecule: ribosomal RNA, 250 nt
Filed under: uncultured prokaryote
Description: partial 16S ribosomal RNA
Rfam family: Bacterial small subunit ribosomal RNA
Source: RNAcentral